GGUUUGAGUAAAAAGAGUGACGAAUGGAGAACUAGGGUGCACUAAAGAGGACGGAGCCCCCCGAAAUGGCGGAGGAGAGACUUUGAAGCCCUAAUGUCCCGCGCGGCAACGCAGCGGGGGGGCCAGGGGAGCGAAACAUCCCAGUACCAGGCCCCCCACCCCCCCCCUCCCCGCCCCAUAGUGGGUGUUUAGGGGGGGGGCACAGAAAAAAUCAAACGAGAUUCCGCCAGUAGCGGCGAGCGAAAGCGGACGAGCCCUUUCCUGUAGGCGAGUAGUGAUGGGAAGAUGGGUGUCCACACAUCCAAGGCUUAAUAAUUAGUGUCACACCGAAAGAGAGGAGUACUGUAAAGGAAAGUUGAAAGAGACUUGAAAAGACCUUGAAAUGAGUCACUUAAAGCAGUUGUAACACAACGUACCUUUUGCAUAAUGGGUCCACGAGAUAAAAUUUGGCAAACUUAAAGUGCAAUCUCGCAGCCGCCCCGCGAGGGAUGGCUGGGGGGAUUGUUCUUGGCCCCCUAAGGUGUAGUGAAAGCAAGGUGCCGCUAUAACGGCCCCCCUCAGUCAAAUUUCCCGAAACCAAGUGAUCUAGCCAUGGGCAGUUUUUAGGAACGAACCGGUGGUUGUUGCAAAAACCUCGGACGACCUGUGGUUAGGGGCGAAACGCCAAUCGAACUUGGAGAUAGCUGGUUUUCUGCGAAAACUAUUGAAGUAGUGCGUCCACAGUUCAAGGAAUAAUUAAGAUUAUCCGAUGAAAAUGGCUUGGAAUGCGGUAAAGCCCGACCCCCCGAAGUCGGGGGAUUAACUAUGAAGAAAAAAAGCCAGAGUGGGACAGACAGACUGUGGGCGAUAAGGUCGACGGUCAAAAGGGGAGAAGCCCUAACCAGAAGUUAAAGUCAUUAAUAAAAGUGGCGGGGGGGCCGAAGGCCCCCCCCCCGAUUUAGUGUAAAAGAGAUAUUGGGUUUAGACAAUGAAGAAGUAGGCUUGGAGCCAGCCACCUUUGAGAGAUGACGUAGCAGUUCACUCAAGAAAUUCUUUUAUCUCUAAAAUUAUGGUGGCUAAAGUUGAACUGAAACUCUGGGGGCGAAAUAUAUUGAGCUUAAUUGGAGUUAAAUAAGGCUUCAAUUAGUUCAAAUUAGUUUUAAUUUGCCCGGUAGCAGAACGUACUGUUAAUUGUUCAGUGAGAGCCCCGCACGGCAUCAGAAGUGAUAAUGUGGACAUGAGUAAAAAAUCAUAGGAUCACUCCCCCCCUGGUUUCCCAUAUUAGUUAUGGGGUUAAACAGCCCCUAAAAUCGCAGCCCCAAAGGUUGCGUUGAUGGGGGCCCUGAGUAAUAGACGCACAAAGUGCCAGGAAAGAAUUAUUCAAGCAUUAUUCAAGCCGGGGAACCGGCCAAAGGGCACUGUACUAAACUAACUAAAGUGGGGGAUAGUGAGGGGAUAAAUUUCCUUAAGGAACUCGGCAAAAUCCCAAUGGCCCACCAGGGCAUACUCCCCACCCCCGCCUUAGGCGGGGGGUGGGCAGUAUUGGAACACGGGCCUCGACUGUUUACCAAAAACAUAGCCCUCGGCCAAUAUGAAAAUAGAUGUAUAGAGGGUGAGGCCUGCCCAAUGGUUGUAUCUAAAAGCGGUUGAUAAAAGUCGACCUCGUAAGGACAAUUGAAUGGCCGCGGUAACACUGACCGUGAUAAUGUAGCGUAAUCAAUAGCCAAUUAAUUGUUGGCCAGUAUGAAUGGUGCCACGAAGGCCCCACUGUCUUAAGGAAAUUCCCAGUGAAAUUGAAUUCGUAGUGAAGAUGCUACGUCCAAUUUGUUAGACGAAAAGACCCCGUUGAGCUUUACUGGGGCACUUACACGGCCCCGGCCUUCCAAACUAGGCUUACCAUGCCUAGGGGUCGGCCGAAUUUAAAUGGGUGGCUUAGAUUAUGUGGCAGCCCCCCGUCGGGGCAGAUGAAACCCCACUCCCCCAUGUCAAAGGGGCUAACCCCCCCCCCUUGGGGGGGGGACAGUGUAAGUAGGACAGUUUGGUUGGGGCGACCGCCUUUUAAAGAGUAACGAAGGUGCGCUUAAGGUGCGCAAAUAAUGACUGAAGCCUGACUGCGAGGGGGACACCCCGAGCAGACACCCCCAAGCCUGCCCUAAGGGCGGCGGUGGGGUGGGCCAUAGUGACCCGUUAAUUUAGAGUGGAAUAGUUAACGAUCAACGAAUAAAAGUUACCACGGGGAUAACAGCGUAAUAUCGUUAGAGAGUUCACAUCGACGACGAUGUUUGCGACCUCGAUGUUGAAUUGCGGCAUCCUGGGGUGCAGCCGCUCCCAAGGGUUGGUCUGUUCGUCCAUUAAAGCCGUACAUGAUUUGAGUUAAAAGCGUGGUAACACAGCUUGGUUUCUAUCUACAAAUUGAAGAAACAUCGAUAUAACUAUCUUCUAGUACGAAAGGACCGAAGGAUUAGUGAUCCUCUUAUUUUUUAUAAGUUACGAUCAACCCAUUGACCUCCAGGCACCGUCGCCCCCGAGGGGCGAGGGUUGCAAGAGGGGUCUUUCAGCUAAUCACUGACCGCUUCUAAAGUGGGAAAGUCAUAUCGAAAUGUUUGGGCCCAUUAUAGGGGGGCUAAACCUCACCAUCACGAGUCCGCUAUAGCGGCCUCCUAAGGAGGGGAUGGUGGCCAGCCCUCGGGCUGGGAUAAAUCAUUAUGG
RNAcentral lists this ribosomal RNA (2688 nucleotides) under Hydrozoanthus sils. RNAcentral describes it as "large subunit ribosomal RNA". It matches the Rfam family "Bacterial large subunit ribosomal RNA". The record is from RNAcentral. Lineage: Eukaryota; Metazoa; Cnidaria; Anthozoa; Zoantharia; Hydrozoanthidae.